GACGAACGCUGGCGGCGUGCUUAACACAUGCAAGUCGAACGGACAGGCCAUGUCGUUGCUCCUCGGACGUUAGCCGCGUGCGUGAGAGUAACGUGUGGAGACCCUCCCUAUAGGACUGGGAUAACUACGUGAAUCUGGUGCUAAUACGGGAUGAUCUCUUGAACCGCAGGGGGCAAUAGUUAAAGGCGGUGGUUGUGUCAGUUAUAGAUGGAUCCGCGCGUGAUGAGCUAGUUGGUAAGGUAACGGCUUAGCAAGGGAACGAUGCGUAUCCGAGGUGAGAGCGGGAUGGGCGACACAGGAACUGAGCCGCGGUCAAGAGUCCUACGGGAGGCCGCAGUAGGGAAUGGUGGGCACUGGGGGGAAGACUGAAGGAGCAGCGCCGCGCGAGUGCUGAAGGUCCUCGGAUCGUAAAACUGUGUUAUUGGGGAAGAACCCAUGUGUCAGGAACUAUGCGCGUCGUGACGGUACCUAAUCAAAAAGCACCGGCUAACUACGUG
This 497-nucleotide ribosomal RNA is filed under the name uncultured bacterium. RNAcentral describes it as "partial 16S ribosomal RNA". It matches the Rfam family "Bacterial small subunit ribosomal RNA", at positions 28 to 507 of the family's 1533-position model. The record is from RNAcentral.